UACUGCAGCGGGACUUGGUAA
This 21-nucleotide unclassified non-coding RNA is filed under the name Mus musculus (house mouse). RNAcentral's name for it is "oocyte_clustered_small_RNA9303". Lineage: Eukaryota; Metazoa; Chordata; Mammalia; Rodentia; Muridae. The record is from RNAcentral.